Molecule: long non-coding RNA, 7421 nt
Organism: Cuculus canorus (common cuckoo)
Lineage: Eukaryota; Metazoa; Chordata; Aves; Cuculiformes; Cuculidae
Exons: 5
Source: RefSeq, a predicted model, not a curated record
CAGUACCUCUGCAAUGUUAUAUAAUACACAUUAACAUGACUUUAUCUGAAAAUGGCUUACUGGAAUUAUUAUGGGUUGUAUGCCUAGUGUAUGGCAUAAAAAGAGACAAACAUGGAAAAGAACAACAGAGCCAGUAUAGUGUGGAGAUGGUGUGCUGUGGUGUUCUUGGGUGUGCACUGAUUCACCCAGAUGUCAGGAGAGCAUCUAUUUCCUGUUUUUUAAUUAUGAUUUCAGCUAUUAUUCACUUCCCAAUAUAACGAAUUGCAAUAGUUUAUCUAUGACCAUCUCAGUGUAUUUUAGUUACUGCCUGUUUUGGGGAGAAACAGCUGAACGGAGUGGGAGAACCAGAGAAGAGCUGUUCAGUGAUUUAUUACUCUAAAUUGGACCUGGUUUAGUACAUGCAAAAGGAGUAGUGCCCCUGAUGUCUGGAAUGUAAAAGCAGCCACAUCUUAAGAUCUGGACAAGAGGUUCUAUCAAGAUAGUGUUCUCCUCUUUCAGUGGCAGAGAAGGGAGUUCUGAAUUGCUGGAGAUAAAUUCGCAUCCUUCCCACCAGAGAAAGCCCUCACUGUUGCACUGAACUAUGAAAUAGAAGCCAGGCAUCUCCUAAUAACUUAGUUUCCAAAAGAAGAAACUAUCAUCCUAGACAGGACUGCCAACAUUACCAUGGAAACCCCCAAAAAUAAAGACUCUCCCAGCCUUGCGAGAGCGCACCUGCAAGAACAAGAAUUGCCUGUCAAAAGCGACUCUCCUUCAUUAUUGGUGUCAGCUAAGGACAAUUUUCAUGGAGUGAUAUUCCCUGGACAUUAGUGAUUCAUGUGAACUCCAGAUCACUUCAGCGAGGCGCAGUCUUACAAGGAAGGACAUGCAACAUAUUACAGAUGACAACCUUAAAAAGGAUCUGAAACUAAUCAGCAAUUGCAUCUUCCGUAAGUGAAAUCAGUCCACCUUAUAAAACCAUCUCAUAGGGGAGGAAACAUCCGACAGUAAUAUUAAAUGAAUUAAGAACAAAAACAGGUACAACUAUGGCUAAAACAAUAGUUUGGGGGAAGCUUUGAAAAAAUAUUUUGACUUUUUUUAAAUCAUAUUGCUAUCAGAUAGAUUUACUAGUUUUUAAAAGUCUGUUUUACUGAAGCUUCUGAGCACCAUUCUACAUUUGCAAAGCAUGUUUAUCAUCCAGGAAAAGUUUUCUACAGCCCGCUGUUAUUUUCAAAGGAAAAGGGAAAAAUACAGCAAAGGCUUCAAAGACAUGAGUGAAUUAUUUCAUCUCCUUACAAGUGCAGCAUGUCCUCUCUCUUCUGUAAUGACACAGUACAGAAAACGAGAUGCAAUUCAUGCAAUUCCUUUGGCAAAUGAGUGUGAUCUUAUAAAGAAUUGGCACAUAAUUCUAAUUUGAGCUUUAUUGUCUUAAACAAAACCAAACUUAAUACAGAACAUUAUAAUGUACUAACAGGAUCCUUCAACAGAUAUUUUUUUUCCCUCAAUACAAGUGACUGCAAAGUGCUGGGCCUGUAAUUCCAAGGAUACUCGGUGUCCAAAACAGCAAUAUCUAUGCAGCCAGGAAUUUUUGUGUAUUACAGUACAAUCACAUAAGUGAACCAGAGAAGAAUAUUUGGCCUUUUGCUAUUUUAUGUACCAAGACAGAAAAGCAUGCCUUUUCCUCUCUUCUACCCCAAUGAACAGAUGUGGUUUUAAUCACAUACUGAAAAAAACAAUGCUCACAAGUUUCAAACUGACUUUGAAAUUUAGGAGUAAAAUUAUUUUUCAAAGAAAGUGAUUUUCAUCUAAUUAUCUUGAAACUGUCCAUAAAAGAAAGACAGGCAAGGAACUGGAUAAAUACACCAAGUAGAGGUUGGGUUGUUUGUUCGUUUUUCCAGUUGGAGAGAAAAUUAAGCUAAUUUUGAUAAACAACAAAACCUGUCGCAAGACAAGAAAUUUUAAAAGAAGCCUCAAGGUCCAACUUAGAAAGAUUAUAGGACGUCCAUCGAUAACUAGAUUCUAUAGAACAGUAUAAAUCCAGAUGCUACUGAACUCAAAGUUGGAGACUAAGUCGAUACAUAAGGUUACAGUUGGGAAACUGGCACCAGGAGCUGCUACAACUCUAUGCCAGCCACUAACCUACAUCCAUGGUAUCCAGCUCACUCGCCACUGCCCCCAACUAGAAAACACGCCAUAAAUACGUAAAGUCAGAUUAGCCGUUCUUCUGAAUUGCAUUCCAGCUCUUGGACAAACUGUGUGUGAAAUACAGUUCCAGGGAACACAGAUUACAGGCAACUCUUCAAUGAAGACCGAUUUUAAAAGGACGUUAUGUGGUAUUGAGGUAGCGGAAAUGUGCACACAGAGAGAAUAGGUACGUUUCUAAUGUAAUCUGGACCUCAAUUAGCAUGAACUAUCUUUAUGAAUAUGGCCCGUAUGAGGAUAACAUGCACAGUGGACAAAGGGAUCUCUGUUCCACAUCUGGGUGUUGUACCAGAAGCAGAGGGUGGAGGGAGGUGAAAUGUGGGACUCUGAUGUGAAAGUGCAUGAUGGUGGCAUCUGGCAACCAUAAGAGACAAAAUGAGGCAGCGGAGGGCGUCUGGCUGCUUGCCAGCCAGGGCAUACCCAAGGACAACAAUAGAUUUUAACCCAUGCAGAAAGGUCAGGAUGGUAGGAACAGAAUUAUGAGUCAUGUUCAUACUUUGGCUGCAAAUUUCGAAGCUUUAUAGAGUUUUGGGAAAACUCUACCACAACAUCCUACAAUCGAUUUUAAAACCACAUGCCGUCAAACUUCAUCACAAACGACCAGGUCCACAGAACAUCUAGACAUAUAGCUCCCACUGAAAAUCAAUGACAGUUCAGUCCCUAAAUACUUGCACAGUUCUGACCAAAUAUUUUAUUUUUUUUUCCUUUAAAAAUAUAAAUUCCACCCUCUCAUUGAAACAAACCUCUCUUGCUCAUAGCUUUUUUCAGUCCUACAUUUCACUGUAACUUUUUAUGAGUAUUAUACCCUGCAGUGCCCUAACCAGCAGCACGUAUAAGUUUCAACAAUAGUGCUCGUCUGUCUCUGGAGCUCGUUCCACACACUUCAACAACUGCUCUUCAGCCUGUUCAGAUGCCACCGGCUCCAUUUAAAGGUGUUUGGGACAAACUCCUCUAACAUGACAGUGACAAGUGAAGACAAGAUUAGAGUCAGUAUUAAGGAAAUUUCAUGCAGAUUUUCUCGCAAUGCCUAGGACCAAUCUGAGUUUCUAAAAAGGGAGUUUUUAAUUAUGAGCAGAGAAACAAUAGCUCACUUCAACAUGAAAAAGAGCACACCCACUAUUUUUCCAUGCUCUGUAAUUUAAAAGUAGGUCGACCCAUUAGGUUUAAAGCUUUCAAAAAUAUUAAAACUGAAAUACAGGAUUCAAUUUCCUUUUUGUUUUUUAAGCCAGACCCAGAGACUGAAAAGUUUCAGACUAAUGGCUACUUUAAGAUGAUAAAAGGGGAUGAAGUUUUUGAACUAUGAAUCUAAUACUGCCAGAACAGAUUGAUUCCAUAGUAAAUUUUUAAAGAGAAAGUGAAUUUUUAAACACCAACUAAAUUUGAAGCAUUUAAAUAAGACCAGAGCAUUAACUGCACACCAAUUCAGAAGUGCCACAGGCCUGUAAUCCGUCACACUGCACAUAUAGAUCUACCUGACUUUUUCUCACUUUUUUUCCAUGAUGUGCACGUCCAGAAUGCAAACCGGGGCCAAAAUACACCUGAACAGCAUGCCUACCAAUUCAAGAGACUUCCUAUAAUCAAUGUGAAUCAGACAGAAUCGAUACAUACUGAAAAAAUUGACUAGAAAAUGGCACUUAUUUUUUUUUUUACUCUGUUCUUUAAAAACAUAACAUAACAUAAAUUACUAUCUUGGCCAUUUGGUAACUGAUGACCACAGAAUUAUAAUUAGUGGGACAUUGUCUCCCAAGCACCUUCUGCACAAACUGGAGGAACAUCUUGUAUACACUGAGUAUGAAACAGAAAGUCCCUCGGUUCAUCAGCACCUCAGUGCCCAACAGGCACUGCUCUUUUGAGGAACAAUCCUAGACUCAGCAGUUUGCCUGAAUUUCAACCACACAAAGCCUCACCAUUGCUAAAAACCAGACAAAGGCCAAUCAGACCUGGCCUGGCUCUGCUGCUGAUGCUCUGAACGCAAAUGGAGAUCCUGUGAACUCAACUGACUGAAUGAGCUGAAGAGUGAAGCACCCCAAAGGGCAGGGAAGAAGAAGCAGUGUCAAACCACCCCGUUGUGAGUCCAUCGUGGCAUCUGUAUGGGCUCCUGGUGCCAGCGGUCGGAUCUAGAAACAAACUCAUAGCUCCGUGCUGAUGAUGGUGAACCUGAGGUUAAUGCUGUUCUCCUCACUGGCUCAUGGAAAUGUUCAGGGCAGGGAGGCGAGAGACACGGGAGCUACUGCAGAGAAUCUGGGUCAUCCAAAGGCUGGUUAAACAAACUCAGGGAUACAAGCGGCUCGCAGCAGCCUAGCACACCCUGAAUCACACCCUCCAAGUUAUUUCCAGAAUCCUAACAGCCACUGCAGUCUAAGACCGUCUUGGGGUUUCCAUCUGAAGCCCAGAUCCUGUAAUAAACACUCUUGCAGGAUUCAGGGCCAUGUUCCAUGCUUUUCAGGAUUCUCUGUCCUUAGACUAAAGUUCAGGUUCCUGACACCCAGGCAAACCUGGAGAAAAACACAUCGUUUUAAAAUCUUGGUAGGCAAGUCAAACUCCGCCAAAACCCAACUACUCUGAGGUAUCUCCAAGCUGCCUUCACUUUACUCUAACUAAUUUGAUUUUAAAACCGAAGUUUAGCAACUCAUUAGUAAUCGCUUUUUGAGUAUUUAUUUAUUUAUUUUGUUGGGGGAGGAAGGGAGGGAAGAGAGGGAAAUCGAGCUAUUUAGCUUUCCAAGUAUUUAACAUAAAACCCAAAAGAGCUCCAUCUGGCAACCAGCAGGAAUUCGAAAUAAUCUAAAUAGUAUCUACAUAAGGACCAGGCUGUCUAUGGAGCAAGACAACUUCAACUUUUACAGCCACAAGAAACCUUUAUUAACAUAAAAGGAAAUUAUAAAAAAUUAAGUUAGAACAGGAACAAGAGUCUGGCGAGCUGCCAAAAGACCCCAGGAAUCUCUGCAUUAAUCUGGAAAUGCUGCUUUUGACUAUUGGAAUAUAGCAUCUUACACUGUGUGGUUUUGAAAAAAAACCAAACAACAAAACCAAACAAAAAUAAACCCUUAAGUUCAAAGGACUUCAGUACAAUAAAACCAGUUCUAGAAAAAGAUUCAGAUUAAUGAAAAUCAAUAUGUAAUUCCUCACUCUGUUUGUAGAAAAUAUUAAUAUUUAAUUACACAGACUUCAUUGAGUCAUGGAUGAGGCCCUUCAUGUCCAUAGAUGUCUGUCUUCAUUAAGGAAAUGGCUCAGAAUACCACUGCUAAUUAUGCUAAUUAAAUAUACCUUUGAACUACUCUUACAUAAAAGUGCUGAUAAUUCGUAAUUCCCAAGUAAAUAAACACCUCUCAGAGUACACAGUAUUUUAAUUUUCCAAGUUAUUCCCAUGAAGGAUCUGGCCUUGCACUUCACAACUACCCUGUAUAUUUUUGGCUGGUUUCUGAAUGAUCCAAUCUUGGUGGUGGUUUGCUGUGCUAUGUGAAAUAUUGUAAUGGUCUUGAUGCUCCUGUCAAGCUGCCGCUGGGAUUUUGCCACUUUCUUGGCAAAAAGUCAGAAUGAAACCACUGCCCACCCCCAAAAAAAAACCCACGUUAUUGUGAUCCUGUGAGGAUGGGGCAGCCUUGACACUCUGCGUUUCCACUGUCCCUGGGCUACAGGAAGAGAAUUUCUAUCUUUAUCAUUGCCCAUCUGGCACCUUUCACAGGCAGCAAGAACAAAGAAAUAAAAUGUACUGGUCCCUACCAUCUGCUUCUGCUUGUAAAGUCUAUAAAGAGCCUCAUAGUGAAGAAAGGGGGGGAAAAAAAGUAAAAAGCAACCCUUUCAUUUCCCACCAAACUGUUCUGGCAGGUACACAUUUUUGCCUGUACUUCUUACAGAUCUUAGGGCAACCCUGGAGGCCCAUAGUUCCCUACAGCAAUGCAGCUGCUCAGCACAGAGCAUCCCCAACGCUCCUAGCCCACACCUUCAUCCGCGAGCGUCUAACGACCCAGAAAGAAAGGUUGCGUUGUUUGAGAUCUGCUUAUUGGAUCAGCCUCUGUUUUAUCUAGAACGGGAAAAUUCCAGUGGGUUUAAUAGGAGGUAUUACCCUACAGAUUUUCUCUGGUUCCACCUCCUUUCCCAUCAGCCACGUCCCCUCUUGCUGCAAAGCUGCAUACACCAUGUGCUGGCUCGACCCUUUCUGUCUCUGACAGAAGUUUGGCCAAAAAAGAGCAGAUUUUCUGCUACUUUGAUCAUUUCCUGUGGUAAAAAGUGAAGGGAAUUAUCUGACCCAUGGUCUUUUUUCUCUUAGUUUUGAAAAAUAACAUCGAUUUACAUUUCAAGUUCCCUUACUUGCUUUUCAAUAGCAUUUUACUGCUAGUUUACUGGUUGUCUUACAGAACUUUUUUUGAGAGUCACAAGAGAACACAUUGCUCCCACCUCAAAUGUGGAGAUUCAGCUGCUGUAUUAAAUGAAUAAUGAACUUCACUAUGAUGAAGCAGCAACCAAAAGGUAAUAUCAAACUCAAGGACAAUACAAAAGUGACAACUUCUCCCCUGUCAAAAAAUCUUACACUUAAAAAAAUAAGGUUAAUUCUCUUUUGGUGGGGGCAGCGUUAUUUUUGGCUACAAGAGUGCAUUGCAUAAUGUGUUUAGAAAUAAGUUAACCCUUUUAUUAAAUGCUCUAUUAGAAUAGAUGUAUGACGUGAUAUAAGGACCCUGAAAUAUUAAGUUUCCUUCUGUCAACAUCACCAGAGUUUCUGAUCAAAAGUCAUAUCUCAUGCUCAUUUAAGCAUAUGUUGAAAUAGUGACACAACCUGUUGACCUAAAUGGUGUAAGCACUUGGGCAGCAAGGGCCUAAAGGAUGACACCAAGUGAUAACAGUGACCUCGACAUGGCCUGAAGCUGCACCCUGAAUGCCAGUCCAUUAUCUGUUUGUUCUGUCCCAGAGAGUACAAAGUAAACAACGUCCCUACUGAAAUCAUGUCUUGUAUCAGAAUUAAUACUCUAUAGGAAUACAUUCCAAAUAAAUUAUCACAAUAGACAUUAAGCCUUCGUAAAUGUGGCACCACAGCAUUUAAAAUAUACAUUAUGUUCGUGCUUAGUAGUGAAACCACACACUUUCAGCUCAGAAAACACAACAAUGUCCCUAUGUGUGUAUAUAGACUUUUUCCUGUUAAUCAUUUAUCAGAAUACAUAAACCCAGUUGUAGUUGUUUGUAUCAAAAGCCUUGGGUUUUUUGAACUUUACUGUACUAAUUCUAUGAAUAGCAUAGAUGUUGAUGGAUAU